Molecule: ribosomal RNA, 500 nt
Filed under: uncultured bacterium
Lineage: Bacteria
Description: partial 16S ribosomal RNA
Rfam family: Bacterial small subunit ribosomal RNA
Source: RNAcentral
AUUGAACGCUGGCGGCAUGCCUUACACAUGCAAGUCGAACGGCAGCACGGGAGCAAUCCUGGUGGCGAGUGGCGAACGGGUGAGUAAAGUAUCGGAACGUGCCCAGUCGUGGGGGAUAACGUAGCGAAAGUUACGCUAAUACCGCAUACGAUCUAUAGAUGAAAGCGGGGGAUCGCAAGACCUCGCGCGAUUGGAGCGGCCGAUAUCAGAUUAGGUAGUUGGUGGGGUAAAGGCUCACCAAGCCGACGAUCUGUAGCUGGUCUGAGAGGACGACCAGCCACACUGGGACUGAGACACGGCCCAGACUCCUACGGGAGGCAGCAGUGGGGAAUUUUGGACAAUGGGCGAAAGCCUGAUCCAGCCAUGCCGCGUGCAGGAUGAAGGCCUUCGGGUUGUAAACUGCUUUUGUACGGAACGAAAGGGUUUGGCCUGAUAAGCUGAGCUCAUGACGGUACCGUAAGAAUAAGCACCGGCUAACUACGUGCCAGCCGCCGCCGUAA